RNAcentral lists this long non-coding RNA (1371 nucleotides) under Triticum aestivum (bread wheat). RNAcentral describes it as "long non-coding RNA (TAES_LNC008200)". Lineage: Eukaryota; Viridiplantae; Streptophyta; Magnoliopsida; Poales; Poaceae. The record is from RNAcentral.
AUCUGGACCUAACCUACUUUCACACAUGGAAACUAUAUGUACGUGCGCUCUAUAUAUAAGUGCUCGAGUCGAGCACCCAUUUUGCACAAACUGUGAGCCAGGUCGCCAAUCCAAGUAGAAUAGAAACACAGGAAGGAGCAAGGAGACGAACAAUCGAGGAUGGUGAAGAACAACUCCUCUGCGACCUCGGUUCGGCUGAUGCUGAUCCUCCUCGUUCUGCUGGUUUUCGUUGGUGGCAUCCUUGCAAACGAUGGGCCGUCCAAAUGCAGCAACCGUAAGCACGCUACCACAGUUGAUGUUUCCUUCCAUGCAUGCAUAUGAACCCUCCCAGUAAAUUCAAUCAUCUACUCCUUUCUUUCUUCCUAAUUAACUUGGUUUUUCUUAAUCAUUUGUGGCAGCUGCGGCUCAGCAAAACUGCCCGUCGAUCCCUAAUGGCGGCUCAUAAGCAUGAGAUGGAUCAUUUCUGCGCAGCAGGAUUCGGUAGGAUCUUGUGUUGGCAGGCGUUGGAAGCUUCCUAGCUAUUACUAGCGGGUAGUGCGCGGCGGCACGCCGCGCCACGUGGAUCGAUAAGCAAUUUAGUUUAUUUGUAAUAUUUGGUAAGUCAUUUGAAGACUUGAUUCGUGACAAAGUAGAUUAUACAAGGAAUGGUUACAUUUAGUUGGUACCUACAUGCAUAAGUUAUCUACAACACAUAGUGAUAGUGAGUAAUGGACGCAGAGUUGUGAAGCUCUUGUUCUUUUCUUAGACUUGAGAUGUUGAUCCUCCGGUUGAGUCUGUCUCUUUGAUGUAGUGCUAGAGAAAUGAGCCUAGUUCUUCUUCUCUCAUUCUUGGUGGUUUGUUUCCUGUGUAAACAAUGUUAAAGUUGUUGCUGGAUGCACGUUAUUUAGCUCUCGACGGAUUGGCAAAAUAUUUUAAAAUUAAAGACAAUUUUGUUAAGGGUUGUUGUUUGCCUUCACAACAAGGCUUGCUUUUUACUGUUUCUGUAUUUCUAAUUCUUCUUCCUUGGUCUUACUCCAUUCUUGCGCCUGAGCAGCUCUUGUACAAGAUGUGAGAGACGAUUGUGCCCUGGUUGUUUAUUAAUUGUUUAUUAGUGCAUUUUGUACAUAAUACGAACGUGGAUACAAAGAAUCUGGGAAGAUUAGCUCUACCGAUCGAGUUAUUCAUCUUUAUAACGUGAUAUUUAGAGCUAAGGUGGAAUUGCCUAUUGGGUUGUGUUGACAGAGGGCAGAAGUUAGAGCUUGCUGGUUUCUCUCGGUGAUAUAUAGUCAGAGGGCAGAGACAGCUACUUUGUCUUGACAGAGGGCAGAGGCUAGCUCUUCCCUACUGAUUUUCAGGGUAUUAUAAUUUUUCAUAUUUAUACUUGUUGACUAC